UACGUAGGGGGCAAGCGUUGUCCGGAUUUACUGGGCGUAAAGAGCGUGUAGGCGGCUAGAUAGGUCCGUUGUGAAAACUCGAGGCUCAACCUCGAGACGCCGAUGGAAACCAUCCAGCUAGAGUCCGGAAGAGGAGAGUGGAAUUCCCGGUGUAGCGGUGAAAUGCGCAGAUAUCGGGAGGAACACCAGUGGCGAAGGCGACUACCUGGCCUGUUCUUGACGCUGAGGUGCGAAAGCGUGGGUAGCAAACAGG
This 253-nucleotide ribosomal RNA is filed under the name uncultured bacterium. Its description in RNAcentral is "partial 16S ribosomal RNA". It matches the Rfam family "Bacterial small subunit ribosomal RNA", at positions 524 to 776 of the family's 1533-position model. The record is from RNAcentral.